GACAUGCUCCCUCCAUCCAAAAUUACUUGUCAUACAAAUGGAUGUAUCUAGAAUUAAAAUACAUCUAGAUACAUCCAUUCCCACGACAAAUAUUUCUGGACGGAGGGAGUAUUGU
Hordeum vulgare subsp. vulgare (domesticated barley) is the source of this 115-nucleotide non-coding RNA. The record is from Rfam. Lineage: Eukaryota; Viridiplantae; Streptophyta; Magnoliopsida; Poales; Poaceae.